This 73-nucleotide transfer RNA is filed under the name Pseudomonadota bacterium. Its description in RNAcentral is "tRNA-Ala". It matches the Rfam family "tRNA". From Rfam's summary of the family: Transfer RNA (tRNA) molecules are approximately 80 nucleotides in length. The record is from RNAcentral. RNAcentral also lists the same sequence under 1 other name. Lineage: Bacteria; Pseudomonadati; Pseudomonadota.
GGGGCUGUAGCUCAUCUGGGAGAGCGCCGCCCUUGCAAGGCGGAGGUAGGCGGUUCGAGCCCGCUCAGCUCCA